ACCUAGGAAGUACAGUGGAAAGUUACUCAGGAAGAGGUUGCCGGCUAGGUCUGCGAGCUCUUCAGUGGCAUCAUCAAGAACAAGCACUGCACUAAGGUGUACUCCCUCAUGAGGCCGGUUGACCCGAUAAGAUAUUGGUUUCAUCAAUCAGCUUUCCUACUUUCAAUUUGCAUCUUCUCUAACUAUUCCUGUUGAUUGACCAGAGCCAUGAAUUUGAGUUUUUCUAUCCAACAUCACUUCCCGAAGGGGUUGACC
Molecule: long non-coding RNA, 255 nt
Filed under: Setaria italica (foxtail millet)
Lineage: Eukaryota; Viridiplantae; Streptophyta; Magnoliopsida; Poales; Poaceae
Description: long non-coding RNA (SITA_LNC002347)
Source: RNAcentral